AGCAUAUCAAUAAGCGGAGGAAAAGAAACUAACAAGGAUUCCCCUAGUAACUGCGAGUGAAGCGGGAAAAGCUCAAAUUUUGAAUCUGGCGGUCUCUGGCCGUCCGAGUUGUAAUCUAGAGAAGUGCUUUCCGCGCUGGACCGUGUACAAGUCUCCUGGAAUGGAGCGUCAUAGAGGGUGAGAAUCCCGUCUCUGACACGGAUCCCAGUGCUUUGUGAUGCGCUCUCGACGAGUCGAGUUGUUUGGGAAUGCAGCUCAAAUUGGGUGGUAAAUUCCAUCUAAAGCUAAAUAUAGGCGAGAGACCGAUAGCGAACAAGUACCGUGAGGGAAAGAUGAAAAGAACUUUGGAAAGAGAGUUAAACAGUACGUGAAAUUGCUGAAAGGGAAACGCUUGAAGUCAGUCGCGUUAGCUUGAGAUCAGCCUAGCUCUUUUGCUUGGUGUAUUCUCUUGUUGACGGGUCAGCAUCAAUUUUGGCUGCCGGAUAAAGGCAGAGGGAACGUGGCACCUUUCGGGGUGUGUUAUAGCCCUUUGUUGUAUACGGUGACUGGGAUUGAGGAACUCAGUACGACCUUCGGGUUUGGGGCUUCGGCCUACAUUUCGUGCUUAGGAUGCUGGCAUAAUGGCUUUAAUCGACCCGUCU
This 641-nucleotide ribosomal RNA is filed under the name Coniophora puteana. RNAcentral describes it as "eukaryotic LSU rRNA". It matches the Rfam family "Eukaryotic large subunit ribosomal RNA", at positions 37 to 654 of the family's 3401-position model. Lineage: Eukaryota; Fungi; Basidiomycota; Agaricomycetes; Boletales; Coniophoraceae. The record is from RNAcentral.